RNAcentral lists this ribosomal RNA (525 nucleotides) under uncultured bacterium. RNAcentral describes it as "bacterial SSU rRNA". It matches the Rfam family "Bacterial small subunit ribosomal RNA", at positions 355 to 896 of the family's 1533-position model. The record is from RNAcentral.
UGGGGAAUAUUGGACAAUGGGGGCAACCCUGAUCCAGCCAUGCCGCGUGAGUGAAGACGGCCUUAGGGUUGUAAAGCUCUUUCAGCGGGGACGAUGAUGACGGUACCCGCAGAAGAAGCCCCGGCUAACUCCGUGCCAGCAGCCGCGGUAAUACGGAGGGGGCUAGCGUUGUUCGGAAUUACUGGGCGUAAAGAGCACGUAGGCGGUAGAUCAAGUUAGGCGUGAAAGCCCUAGGCUUAACCUAGGAACUGCGCUUAUUACUGGUCAACUAGAGGCCGGGAGAGGGUGGUGGAAUUCCCAGUGUAGAGGUGAAAUUCGUAGAUAUUGGGAGGAACACCAGUGGCGAAGGCGGCCACCUGGACCGGUCCUGACGCUGAGGCGCGAAAGCGUGGGGAGCAAACAGGAUUAGAUACCCUGGUAGUCCACGCUGUAAACGAUGGGUACUCGGUGCUGCGGGUGUCGACCCCUGCAGUGCCUUAGCUAACGCGUUAAGUACCCCGCCUGGGGAGUACGGUCGCAAGGCUG